RNAcentral lists this ribosomal RNA (117 nucleotides) under Candidatus Omnitrophota bacterium. Lineage: Bacteria; Pseudomonadati; Candidatus Omnitrophota. The record is from RNAcentral.
UGGAGUGCUUAUACCGAGGGGGAAACACCCGUUCCCAUUCCGAAUACGGCAGUUAAGCCUCUCAGGGCCGAUGGUAGUGUGCUCGUAAGGGCAUGUGAGAGUAGGUCAGCGCUCCUU